AUGGGGAUGGACGACCAGCAAAGCUUUCGAGUCGCAAACCUACUUAAUUGUAAGCUUGGGAGCUUUCCAAUAAAGUAUCUGGGGCUUCCUAUUUCUCAUCGCAAACUCUCGAUUUUAGAGUGGGAGCCUCUGUAUGGGAAGGUGGCCAAUAGGGUAAGCCCGUGGCGAGGGCGGUUUAUGUCUUCUGCGGCGAGGCUCAUUUUAACUAAUUCGAGCCUCUCUUCCCUCCCCCUAUUCACUAUGGGGAUGUUCUUACUAGCUGAUGGCGUGCACGCUAAGCUAGAUACACCGCGAUCCCGGUUCUUUUGGGAAGGAACUGGCAUCAAGCGGAAAUAUCACCUGGUAAAGUGGGCGGCUGUUUGUAGGCCAAAAAAAUUUGGAGGACUGGGAGUCCUAAACUCCAAACUAAUGAACGUCGCCCUCCUGUCCAAAUGGUGGUGGCGGCUUGCCCAAAACGAGACGAGUCUCUGGGCUCAGCUGCUAAAAGCCAAGUAUUUCCCGAAUGGGAAUCCCUUCAGUGCCUUGGCCAACGGCUCCGUGUUUUGGAAAGGGAUCCAAGCGGUCCGGCCUGCUUUUGCUAUUGGGGCCAAAUUUCGGAUUAGCAAUGGACAAUCCACUCGGUUUUGGCUGGACCAUUGGCUGGGCGCCUCUCCCCUUUGGCAAAGUCACCCCAAUUUAUUUCGGAUCGCCACUGACAUCAACAUCUUAGUGGGAGAGGCAGCUCGUACUGACCCUCCAGCGAUCCACUUCAUGCGGGCCCUUUCCACCGCCGAACGGGAGGCAUGGGACGAUCUAGUGCAACAAAUUGGUGCCAAACGUUUAGGGCCGGGCGAGGAUUCGGUAGAAUGGAGCUUGACAGCGUCCCGGAAAUUCUCGGUUAAAUCCUUAUACAACAAGCUUACUGAAGGGACAGCGCUUGAUAUAGCUAGGGGGCUGUGGAAGGCAGGGCUGCCCUUGAAAAUUAAAAUCUUCAUGUGGCAAAUGCUCAGGAAUAGGCUGCCCACGUCGGAUAAUGUGGCCAAACGUAACGGUCCGGCUGAUGGUACUUGCACUGUGUGCGGUCUAGGUGAAGAUGCAAACCACGUCUUUUUUAGAUGCCACCUAGCCAGGUUCGCGUGGAGUGCAGUUAGGGAAGCCUUCCACUCGAACUGGAACCCAGCCUCGGGGAAUGACUUGAUAUCCAUCCUCAAAACCACGAGAGGGACCAGUAGUAGAAUCGCUUGGCGUUGCGUAGGGGCGCUACUCUGGGCUAUUUGGACGACGCGCAAUAAAAUUACGAUUGAGAAAAAAAUUCCCUAA
This 1299-nucleotide ribosomal RNA is filed under the name Triticum aestivum (bread wheat). RNAcentral's name for it is "partial small subunit ribosomal RNA". The record is from RNAcentral. Lineage: Eukaryota; Viridiplantae; Streptophyta; Magnoliopsida; Poales; Poaceae.